UCAGCCCUACGGGGGGCAGCAGUGGGGAAUCUUCCACAAUGGGCGAAAGCCUGAUGGAGCAACGCCGCGUGGGUGAAGAAGGUCUUCGGAUCGUAAAACCCUGUUGUUAGAGAAGAAAGUGCGUGAGAGUAACUGUUCACGUUUUGACGGUAUUUAACCAGAAAGCCACGGCUAACUACGUGCCAGCAGCCGCGGGAAUACGUAGGUGGCAAGCGUUAUCCGGAUUUAUUGGGCGUAAAGGGAACGCAGGCGGUCUUUUAAGUCUGAUGUGAAAGCCUU
RNAcentral lists this ribosomal RNA (279 nucleotides) under uncultured bacterium. RNAcentral describes it as "partial 16S ribosomal RNA". It matches the Rfam family "Bacterial small subunit ribosomal RNA", at positions 333 to 604 of the family's 1533-position model. The record is from RNAcentral.